AAAACCCUCCUUUCUUCCUCCUCACGUGUACCAACCCAAAACAACUAAGCAACCAAUUUUCUUCUCCCUCCCAUUCGUAUGAGCUUAUCAAAACCCAAGAACCAAGAGCACCUUCUUCAUUCAUGCUGUUCCUUCUAAAAUUGGCCGAGUUCUUGGUCUUCUUCCUCAUUCAAUCCAUUAAUUUUCGAGUAAACCAAGUUCCAUGGAUACCUUACUCUUCUUGUUGAUUGUUGGUGUAAACAAAUUAAGGAUUUUAUUCCAUUGAAGUAGAAAUCAGUAAGAUAGCAAUCGAACCCUUUCCUUUCCCAAGUCUCUGUCCAGCCGAAAUGGGGAAAAACAAGUGGAAUUUGAUCUUGUUUGUUUAAGCAUCGAAAAUUCAAGACAAACAUCAAUUUUUGAAGCCUAUUUUGUUGUGUUCCUUGCUGACCAUCAAAACAGAAGGAGUCGACAUCAUCGAGGAACUCUUCUAGUGAUUGCGGAGAAACAAACUUAGCUACUUGAAGCGUUCUUGUUUGUCUACAGAUCGAAACCAGUCGGGAAUAAUGGAUUAGCGGAGGUGAUUAGAGGUUCCAAGGAUGCAUACUGAGCUGAGCACGUAGGAAUUUGUAGUUUUGUGUUAGGAUUUUUGAUAAAUAUAAAUUUGAUUUGGUUGUGUUGGUUAUAUUGGACUUGUAGAGUAUCGUAUGAUUAUCUUGUGUUUUAGUUAGUUGUUUGUUUUGAGAUUUAGCUGAGUUAGUUACGUUAAAGAGCUGGUGACCCCCUUUGCUCAAGUUUUGGAAGUGUGAUUUUAGUUUCUUGGGAAAUGAACUCCGUGAUGACCCUGUUUACUCAGUCAACGGUAUGUCGAGUUGUUACAGUUUUCGAAUUAGUAUAUUAUGUGUGAUAUAUUUCAUACACAAAGCUUUUUGCAUUUUAUUUUUAUUAUUUGAAAGAUAUUUUUUCUAUAAAUUGGAUCUCUUUUAAGUGUGUUAAGAUAAACCUUACUUCACUUAGAAGGCGAUAGACUAGACGAGCGAGCCAUCAACUAUUUCAAGAAUAUAAUUUGUGACAUUAGAUUCUACCAUUUAUUGUUGAUGUGAAGAAGAUGGUUCUUGUGAAAAUUAUAUUUUGUCUAAGUAAAAAUCCUUACUAUUUAUCUAUUAAAAUCAAUUUCGCACUUAUAAAAUAUUUAAAAUAUAGUCAUAUAAUAUAGAGCACACAUUAUGAAUAAGUACCUUGCUAAAU
This is a long non-coding RNA of Amaranthus tricolor (Joseph's coat), 1224 nucleotides long. RefSeq lists it as uncharacterized. The record is from RefSeq and is a predicted model, not a curated record. The transcript is spliced from 4 exons. Lineage: Eukaryota; Viridiplantae; Streptophyta; Magnoliopsida; Caryophyllales; Amaranthaceae.